CGCAUCUGUGCAUGCAGCAUAUCAAUAAGCGGAGGAAAAGAAACUAACAAGGAUUCCCUUAGUAACGGCGAGUGAAGCGGGAAGAGCUCAAAUUUGAAAUCUUCAAGGUUUUACCUUGACGAAUUGUAGUUUAAAGAAGCGUUUUCUGUUGAAGUUUUGGUAAAAGUCCUUUGGAAUAGGACAUCAUAGAGGGUGAGAAUCCCGUAUUUGACCAUUAUUUUCAGCUGUGUGAUACACUUUCAAAGAGUCGGAUUGUUUGGGAAUGCAGUCCAAAAUGGGUGGUAAAUUUCAUCUAAAGCUAAAUAUUGGCGAGAGACCGAUAGCGAACAAGUACCGUGAGGGAAAGAUGAAAAGAACUUUGAAAAGAGAGUUAAACAGUACGUGAAAUUGUCAAAAGGGAAGCGUUUGACACCAGUGUUGUUUUCUCGAAAAUCAAUUAAAAAGAGUUAGAUUUUGUUGUGUAUUGACCUUAACAGCUUGCAUUUCAAUUUUCUUGCUUUUUUUAAUGCACUUUUCGUUUAACAAGUCAACAUCAGUUUCUUUUGUUGUAAAAAGGUCAUUGGAAGGUGGCUUUCUUUUCGGAGAAAGUGUUUAUAGCCUUUGACUCCUGCAAUCGGAGAGACUGAGGUCUGCAGCGUAGAUCCUUCGGGGUUAGAUACAUUUGUGCUAAGUUAUAGCUUUUUAUAGACAACUUGUUGACUAUGAUUAGUCUUGUAGCUUACUCGCUUAUGCUAUUUUACCUACGCUUAGGAUGUUGACACACGCGCGUGCUCG
RNAcentral lists this ribosomal RNA (774 nucleotides) under uncultured Neocallimastigales. RNAcentral's name for it is "partial large subunit ribosomal RNA". It matches the Rfam family "Eukaryotic large subunit ribosomal RNA", at positions 26 to 644 of the family's 3401-position model. Lineage: Eukaryota; Fungi; Neocallimastigomycota; Neocallimastigomycetes; Neocallimastigales. The record is from RNAcentral.